GUGCUUGCUUUGGCAGCACAUAUACUGUAAUUGGAAUGACACGGAGAAAAUUAGCAUGGCCCCUGUACAAGAAUGACAUGUAAUGUUGUGAAGCAUUCCAUAUUAAA
This is a small nuclear RNA of Suncus etruscus (white-toothed pygmy shrew), 107 nucleotides long. The record is from RefSeq and is a predicted model, not a curated record. NCBI's taxonomy places the organism in Eukaryota, Metazoa, Chordata, Mammalia, Eulipotyphla, Soricidae.